This 1088-nucleotide long non-coding RNA is filed under the name Strigops habroptila (Kakapo). Its description in RNAcentral is "lncRNA (ENSSHBG00005006665.1)". Lineage: Eukaryota; Metazoa; Chordata; Aves; Psittaciformes; Psittacidae. The record is from RNAcentral.
UGCUGGGAAUGCUGUGGCUUGCAUGAGACGCACACAGGAUAAAAUCAUAGAAUCCUAGAAUGGUUUGGGUUGGAAGAGACCUUAAAGACCAUCCCGUUGCACCCCCUCUGCUGUGGCCAAGGACAGCUUCCACUAGACCAGGUUGCCUCACGCCCCAUCCAACCUGGCCUUGAACACUGCCACGGAUGGGGCAGUUACAGCUUCUUCGGGCAACCUCUUCCAUUGUCUCACCAUCCUCACUGUGAAGAACUUCUUCCUUAUAUCUAAUCUAAACCUACCCUCUUCUAGUUUAAAGCAAUUUCCCUGUGUUCUACCACUACCUGUCCUUGCAAAAGCUCCUCUCCAGGUUUCUUGUAGCCCUUCUAGGCACCGGGAACUGCUCCAAGGUCUCCCCUUAAGGAGACUUCUCUUCUCCAGGCUGAACAAGCCCAGCUCUCUCAGCCUGUCUCCAGGGCAGAGCUGCUCCAGCCUCGGAGCAUCCUCAUGGCCUCCUCUGGACUUGCUCCAACAGCUCCACAUCUCUUUUCUGUUCUUGCCACAGAGCUGGACACAGGACAGCAGAGGGGCAGAAUCACUGACCUUCUGGCCACGCUCCUUUUGAUAGAGCCCAGCAUAUGGUUCGCAAAAAAAGAGAACCAAAGGCUUUAAUUCCCCAUCUGUCAAAAGCAGGAUUAUGAAUAUCUCCUAGCAUGUAGACUGCUUUUAAUGUUGCAAAAGGUGACACCAGAAAUGCCACUGCUGGCAGAGGACUCAGGGAUGGCACCAGCAGGCACUGCUGCAGUCCUGGCUCAUUGUGAGAGCUCAGGAGAAACGACACCAGAGUUGGUGCCACGACUGCAGAGUUAACCUUUGUCACCUCUCUAUUUAGCUGACUUUCUCCCUUAAUGAAGCAGUUUGAUUUAUGUACGAGUCAUUUGCCUUCAUAAUAAAUUUAUUAAAUGAUCAUCUUCUUUUUCCCUCCAGAUUUGUCACUUGAAAUGUGGUAAUUGGUGUUUAAACCUGCAAUGGCAUGUCAUCAAAUGAGUUCAAACAACGUUACACAUUCCUUGCUCUCUGUAUCAUAACGAAGCUCAGCUGUCAGCACUAAC